GAUGAAGAACGUAGCGAAAUGCGAUAAGUAGUGUGAAUUGCAGAAUUCAGUGAAUCAUCGAAUCUUUGAACGCACAUUGCGCCCUUUGGUAUUCCAAAGGGCAUGCCUGUUCGAGCGUCAUUUGUACCCUCAAGCUUUGCUUGGUGUUGGGCGUCUUGUCUCCAGCUUUGCUGGAGACUCGCCUUAAAGUAAUUGGCAGCCGGCCUACUGGUUUCGGAGCGCAGCACAAGUCGCACUCUCUAUCAGCAAAGGUCUAGCAUCCAUUAAGCCUUUUUUUCAACUUUUGACCUCGGAUCAGGUAGGGAUACCCGCUGAACUUAAGCAUAUCAAUAAGCGGAGGA
Molecule: unclassified non-coding RNA, 341 nt
Filed under: soil metagenome
Description: partial contains 5.8S ribosomal RNA, internal transcribed spacer 2, and large subunit ribosomal RNA
Rfam family: 5.8S ribosomal RNA (bases 1-120)
Source: RNAcentral